CUCUUCUUGUUAUGAAUUUGAAGUAUAACCUGCCCACUGAUGGAUUAAAUGGCCGCGGUAUUUUGACCGUGCAAAGGUAGCAUAAUCAUUAGUUUUUUAAUUGAGGACUGGAAUGAAUGGUUGGACGAGGGACAGACUGUUUCUUAUGAAGUUAUUUGAAUUUAUAAUUUAAGUAAAAAUACUUAAAUUUUUUUAUGGGACGAGAAGACCCUAUAGAGUUUAAUAAAUCUUAAGAUUAUUAAUAGUUUGAUAAUGUUUAUAUUUUUGGAUUUAUUUUGUUGGGGUGAUGGAAAGAUUUGAGGAACUCUUUUUUGUAUUUAUUUAUUUAUUUAUAUUUUUGAUCCAAUUUUGUUGAUUAUAAGACUAAAUUACCUUAGGGAUAACAGCGUAA
RNAcentral lists this ribosomal RNA (391 nucleotides) under Megazosteria aff. patula W16. RNAcentral's name for it is "partial large subunit ribosomal RNA". Lineage: Eukaryota; Metazoa; Arthropoda; Insecta; Blattodea; Blattidae. The record is from RNAcentral.